Molecule: non-coding RNA, 29 nt
Filed under: Homo sapiens (human)
Lineage: Eukaryota; Metazoa; Chordata; Mammalia; Primates; Hominidae
Source: RNAcentral
GAUCAUAGCUCACUGCAGCCUCGACUUCC